GUUCCUUUCCAGUUGAAUCUGGCAGCCGAGCCUCUCCACCCUCUCACCUGACAGGUGCAGUGCCUGGCCCUGGAACCCGCCCGCCCAUCAGCCAGGGAUGGGAGCCGCAGAAGCCUCAUUAGCAUCUCAAUUAAAGGUCAUCCCAGGUCAGCCUCACAGCCAGGAUCCCAGAGGAAAAGGAGAAGGGGUCCCCCAAAACUGGGAGUACCUGCUGGUCCUACGCACCAGAUAGAAGUGUUCUCUGUGCCACAGACCUGAGCACCCACAGAAGCUCAUGGGAAGAGCUGGGUCUGCAGAACAAGCAGUGUUCUUACGGUGAGAUAAGGACUCUGGGGGCAGAGAUAAGAAGCAAGGGCUGGGGGACCCUGGGGGAGGCAGGAGGAGGGACACAUUUCAAAUGAUGCCCUGGCAUAGCAGAUGGAUCUUGAAGAACAAGGGGUUUACCAGACAAAGAAGAGGGUCCACCUCCCCUCAUCCUUAAAACAAGAGCCUGUGGACCAGGGUUCCACCUGCUAGCUAAGCUGUUGGACAGGUGGCUUGAGAUACGUUCAUGAAACCUCGCGUAAGAAGGGGGAGGCUGGCUCUUUCUUCAUUUUUCAGUUCGUGAAGAAAGUGACCCUCCAAAACAAGAACCCAGUUCUCUGAAGUCUCAGAGCCAGACAGCAGCAGUGAUAAGCAGAAUCCAAAAAGCUUCUUGUCUGAGGUGGCCUCCUGCCCUUUACCUUCUGAGACAGACCAGCCAUAGACUCCUAGGGAACCAGACCUCCAGGAGGGGCUCAGCCAUUCCCACACAAAGCCCAUGGAUCCAUCGGCUCGUGAGGCGCUGUCUCCUUGGCUGUCCUUGGCUGUGUGUCCCUGAACUGGUCCCACCCCUCCACACUCCCAGCUACCCUUAGAAGAAACUCCAUUCUUCCUUGCAUCGAGCCCCUAAACUAGUGUCCUACAGGCAAGCUGCCCAGGUGCCCUGGCUGUUUGAUCUGUGAGGUUCUGAGAAGCUAACUCCUCCCUGCCCCUUCUGUUUGCUAACUGAGCCUGAAACCUGAGUACUGGCUUAAGGCAGCCUGACAAAUAGUUUUCCUCUCAAGGACUCUGUGAGAAAGUCUGAUCUGAAGAGCGUGGUGACUCUGGCAAGUCCUGACAGAGUCCAAGAGUGGCUUGGCUUGGAGACCACAGUAUUAGGGAUCUGGAAUGGGCCAGGGCAAACCUGUUGUGAAAAAAGGUAUUGAGGACUAUACUUUGGUCAGAGCCCCAUUUCAAAUAUUACACACACACACACACACACACACACACACACACACACACUUUCCCUCCCAAACCAGGGGAUCCUUCUGUAGCCUAUGCUAUCCUGGAACUCACAGUGGUGCUCCUGCCUCAGCUUUCCAAGUGCUGGGACUGUGGAUACAUUGUUGUCGUGGUAUGGUUUCCCAGCAGGGCAGAAGUACCUAAAACAGCAAAAGCUUCCUGUUGUCCCAUUUCUUUCCUUCCCCAGCCCAGAGGGACCCACUGUGGCUUGUUCAUCCGUUCCAUCUCUUUCUGUGUCUUUUAGACUUACAUGUUUGUGGUGUUGUAUAUUGAGACAGGGUUUCAAUGUAUAGCCAACCUAAACUUGCUUUAUAACUCAAGCUGGCCUUGAGUUCAUGAUCCUCCUGCCUCAGCCUCUCAAGUGCCAUGAUUACAGAUAUGUAUACCUUGCCAGUUUGCACGUAUUUCCAAAAAAGAAAAAAAACUUUAAAAAGUCCUAUGUGUGACUUAUCAUAUCAUAGGCAUCACUCUUUGACUUCCAUUUUUGUUUGUUUGUUUGUUUAUUCAUUGGUUUUGUUUUAUUUCAUUUUUUCUAGACAAGGCUUCUUUGUGUAACAGCUCUGGUUGUCUUGGAAUGCCUUUUGUAGACCAGGCUGGCCUCGAAUUCACAAGGGAUCCACCUUCUUCUGCUUCCCAAGUGCUGGGAUAAAAGGCGUGCUCCGCCAUAGCCCGGCUCCAUUUUUGUUUUUAGACUGGUUGUCUUUGAAAGGCAUUUUUAAGCCAGGCAUAGUGGUGCAUCCCUUAGAGGCAGGUGAAUCUCUAUGAGUGGUGUGUCAGGCUGCCUUGUUACAAAGGCCCUGCCCCUGUCUACAUCUACCCCGUGCUGGGUACAUGGGGGAUCGAAGGCCUCAGGACCACCCACGUUUGAGGUGAGUUGUUUCCCAAGUCUGAGGCUGCUUUCCUGACUUCCAGAAGAGUAGACUCUUGUCUGCCAUGUCAGGGACAUUUUUUUUUUACCUUGUCUCAGAAAGAUCCACUUCCCAGGGCUUCCUGUUGCCUCUCCCAGAGCUCCCAAACCAUCCCUUAAGUAAGGGGCUGCCUUCCCUGCCCCAUGCCAGCCACCCACCAACGGUUAGUUUGGCCAUAAACUAUGCAGUGUCUAUAGGGGAAGAAGUGAACCUUCAGGGUCUGCAGGGGGUGGGCAUUAGGAUUGACAGCUUGUCCUGCCUCUUUAUCCCAGAGAUAGAAGACUAGAAGGAAUCUCUGUAGCUUUGGUGCCUGUCCUGGAACUAGCUCUUGUAGACCAGAUUGGCCUCGAACUCAAGAGAUCUGCCUGCCUCUGCCUCCCGAGUGCUGGGAUUAAAGGCAUGAGCCACCACCUCCCAGCUUCAAUGUUUUUUUCUAGAUCCAUCCAUUUGCCUGCAAAUUUCAAAAUGUCAUUAUUUUUUACCUCUGUGUAAUACUCCUUUGUGUAAAUAUACCACAUUUUCUUUAUCCAUUCUUCAGCUGAGAGGCAUCUAGGUUGUUUCCAGGUUCAGGCUAUGACAAAUAAUGCUGCUAUGAACAUGGUUGAGCACAUGUCCUUGUGGUGUGAUUGAGUGUCUUUUGGGUAUAUACCCAAGAGCAGUAGUGCUGGGUCUUGAGGUAGAUUGCUUCGAUUUGUGGUAUGUUAACUUAUUGAAAUUCCCUCCCCUUUUCCCUUUUCAGCUUUUAUGCUUUCUAGUAUAAAAACAAGUCACCCACUAAAAUGAACCCCUUUACUCUUAGAUUUAGUGCUAACUACAGGGCUGUCUACUAUGGCAAAGAGCAUCCUUUUUUGCUCCAUUAUGUAUAUAAACCCAAUGUGAUGGUCCAGAAGAUUUCUCUCUGCCAUCCUCAGUUUAGUGACCUGGAAAGAUGCUUAGGAGUUCCCCACUAGAGACUUUUCCCUUUGGUCAGUACAGGGCUUAACAACUUCAGCGCUGCUGGCAUUCCUAGCCGUGCAAUUCCUUGUUGUCUGGGCCUGUCUUGCACUGCAGGUCACAGCAAUAUCACUGGCCUCUCUGCACUAGGUGACAGUGGGAAUUCCAAGCAGUUGCAACCUAAAACGUCUUAAGAUAUUACCAAAUGUCUUCUGGGGAGCAAAGUUACCAAGACUGAGAAUAACUAGGUAAGGCUUUGUUUCCAGUGACAUUCCAAACACUGGGACAGUCCACUUCUAUGUACUAUGUUCAUUUCUCAGUGUCUCCCAGCCCAACUGGGCUGGCUAAGGGCAUCAGUUGGCUAAUGGAAGUGUGACAAAGACAGGAGUGUUUGGAGGGACCCACACACCAGUUCUCCUUGGGGAUUACUCAUGGGCUGUGGGGAGAAGGGUAGUUCAGUAAGUCUCCAUGAAGGAGGCCUGGGAGAAGAGCCCUUCAAGCCUUCCAGGAGUCUCCCCGUCUGGUGUGUCCAGUGGACAUCGAUCAAAGUUUCCAGGAGGUGGGAAAACGCAGAAGAGGAAAGAACAAAGAUGACGCGGUGAUCGCUAAGAAUUAGAAGUCUCUGCCCUCCUGAAGAAGGUCAGAGGGACAGUGUAGUAACCAUUUGUAUUAAGAGGUGUCUGUCUGCAGUCCCAGUAGGCUCCGAGGUCUGGUUGCAUCUCCCCACCUUUCUGAGUUCUGAUUGGGAAAGUGUCCAUAGUCCCACAUUUAUUUGUAGUGAUAAUUUGUGUUUUAACAAAUCAAGCUUCCCUGGAGAUCAGAGUGCAGAACUAAGCCACUAGAGGCCAGCAGUGAUGGCACACACAUUUAAACCCAGGACUUGGGAGACAGAUGCAGGUGAAUCUGUUUGUUCUAGGCCACCCUAGGCUCCACGAAAUCGAUCCAGUCUUUAAGAGAAACAGCUCACAGAAAGCUGGUUCCAGCACUUGAGAUCCCGCGGGAAGAGACAGGAGGAGUUCUUUGCAGUCUGAGCAGUAUGGAGAGGCAGUCUGAGGCCAGCAUUGCCCUUUUGGUCUCAGGAUUCGGUAGAGGUAAAAGGUCUCUCUAGUGGCUGGCUGCACUGC
Long non-coding RNA from Alexandromys fortis (reed vole), 4267 nucleotides. RefSeq lists it as uncharacterized. NCBI's taxonomy places the organism in Eukaryota, Metazoa, Chordata, Mammalia, Rodentia, Cricetidae. The transcript has 3 exons. The record is from RefSeq and is a predicted model, not a curated record.